RNAcentral lists this ribosomal RNA (497 nucleotides) under uncultured bacterium. RNAcentral's name for it is "partial 16S ribosomal RNA". It matches the Rfam family "Bacterial small subunit ribosomal RNA", at positions 28 to 507 of the family's 1533-position model. The record is from RNAcentral.
GAUGAACGCUGGCGGCGUGCCUAAUACAUGCAAGUCUAGCGAACAGACGAGGAGCUUGCUCCUCUGACGUUAGCGGCGGACGGGUGAGUAACACGUGGAUAACCUACCUAUAAGACUGGGAUAACUUCGGGAAACCGGAGCUAAUACCGGAUAAUAUAUUGAACCGCAUGGUUCAAUAGUGAAAGACGGUUUUGCUGUCACUUAUAGAUGGAUCCGCGCCGCAUUAGCUAGUUGGUAAGGUAACGGCUUACCAAGGCGACGAUGCGUAGCCGACCUGAGAGGGUGAUCGGCCACACUGGAACUGAGACACGGUCCAGACUCCUACGGGAGGCAGCAGUAGGGAAUCUUCCGCAAUGGGCGAAAGCCUGACGGAGCAACGCCGCGUGAGUGAUGAAGGUCUUCGGAUCGUAAAACUCUGUUAUUAGGGAAGAACAAAUGUGUAAGUAACUAUGCACGUCUUGACGGUACCUAAUCAGAAAGCCACGGCUAACUACGUG